This 245-nucleotide ribosomal RNA is filed under the name uncultured bacterium. RNAcentral's name for it is "partial 16S ribosomal RNA". It matches the Rfam family "Bacterial small subunit ribosomal RNA", at positions 524 to 768 of the family's 1533-position model. The record is from RNAcentral.
UACGUAGGGGGCGAGCGUUGUCCGGAAUUACUGGGUGUAAAGGGCUCGUAGGCGGGUGAGUAAGUUAACGACGAAAAACCACGGCUCAACCUUGGAUUGAUCGUUAAUACUGCUCGCCUUGAGGACAGGAGAGGAGAGUGGAAUUCCUGGUGUAGCGGUGAAAUGCGUAGAUAUCAGGAGGAACACCAGUGGCGAAGGCGGCUCUCUGGCCUGUUUCUGACGCUGAGGAGCGAAAGCCAGGGGAG